AUCUGGGCCAGGAUCUGGGCGAAGAACAAGGAUCUGUGUGGGGAUUUGGGUCAGGAACCAACAUCUGGUUGAAGAUCUGGGUGAAGAACCAGAAUCUGGGUGAGGAACUGGGAUAUGAGUGCAGGAUGGGGUCAGGAGCUGGGAUCUGGGUGAAGAUCCAGGUGAGGAACUGGGAUCUGGGUGCAGGAUGGGGUCAGGAGCUGGGAUCUGGGUGAAGAUCCAGGUGAGGAACUGGGAUCUGAGUGCAGGAUGGGGUCAGGAGCUGGGAUCUGGGUGAAGAUCCAGGUGAGGAACUGGGAUAUGAGUGCAGGAUGGGGUCAGGAACCAAUGACUGGGUGAGGAUUUG
This is a long non-coding RNA of Tympanuchus pallidicinctus (lesser prairie-chicken), 346 nucleotides long. RefSeq lists it as uncharacterized. The transcript has 3 exons. NCBI's taxonomy places the organism in Eukaryota, Metazoa, Chordata, Aves, Galliformes, Phasianidae. The record is from RefSeq and is a predicted model, not a curated record.